Molecule: long non-coding RNA, 761 nt
Filed under: Homo sapiens (human)
Lineage: Eukaryota; Metazoa; Chordata; Mammalia; Primates; Hominidae
Source: RNAcentral
GGCGGAUCGUGGUGGCUGCGCUUGCGAGGACCCUGAGGUAGAUUGGGUGGUUUCAACAGGAACGCAUCCACUGUCUGAGAGUUUAAACUUGAUUUUGUGAGGGGACGAACAGCGUGACAAUUAAAAGAAGAUCUGGGAAUCAAAAGCUUCCUGAGGCCUUCACCAGAAGCAGAUGCUGGUGCCGUGCUUCUACAGCCUGCAGAACUGAAGGACUUUACAGCUUCUCUUUCGCAUAUCCAAAUUGCCAGCAUCACCGCUCUUGCACUCCAAGCCAUUAUUAAGUAAAGUAAAGAACACAAACACUGUGAUACUGCUACACUUGAUCUGAUAACCAAGAAGUCUACUAAGUGACUAACAGUUAAUAUUUUUGGACAUGAGGUGACUGCAGUUAACUAAAACCAUGGAAAGCAAACCCAUAGAUAAAGGGAUACUAUGCAGAGCAACUGGGAACCUAAUUCUGACCAAAAAGGAGGAAUUGUUUGGCUAAUUGGAAGUGACAGAAACCUUGGGAGAAAGCAACCGCAUACCAAGGAUAAUUAUAAGAAGAAGAGAAGACAUGGAGAAGAGGAGGGAGUAGUUGUGACCGUGGAGGCAGAGAAUGGAGUAAUGUGAUCAUAAAUCAAGGAAUGCUGACAGCCACUAAAGCUGGAGAAGGCCAAGGACAGAUAUUCAAUCCUCCCGUAGAAGUACAGCCCUGCUAAUGCAUUGAUUUUGGACUUCUGGCCUCAGAACUGUAAGAGAAUAAAUUUCUAUUGUUUUAA